AGAAUCAACGCUGGCGGCGUGCCUAACACAUGCAAGUCGAACGAGAAAGGGGAGCAAUCCCUGAGUAAAGUGGCGACCGGGUGAGUAACACGUGACUAACCUACCCUCGAGUGUGGAAUAACAUCGGGAAACCGAUGCUAAUACCGCAUAACAUCGGCGCUUUUAAGAGAUGCCGAUCAAAGGAGCAAUCCGCUUGAGGAGGGGGUCGCGGCUGAUUAGCUAGUUGGCGGGUAACGGCCCACCAAGGCGAAGAUCGGUAGCCGGCCUGAGAGGGCGCACGGCCACACUGGAACUGAAACACGGUCCAGACUCCUACGGGAGGCAGCAGUGGGGAAUUUUGCGCAAUGGGGGAAACCCUGACGCAGCAACGCCGCGUGGAGGAUGAAGCCCCUUGGGGCGUAAACUCCUUUCGACCAAGACGAUAAUGACGGUACUGGUGGAAGAAGCACCGGCUAACUCUGUGCCAGCAGCCGC
This 474-nucleotide ribosomal RNA is filed under the name uncultured bacterium. RNAcentral describes it as "SSU rRNA". It matches the Rfam family "Bacterial small subunit ribosomal RNA", at positions 26 to 518 of the family's 1533-position model. The record is from RNAcentral.